AAAAAAUAAUCUUUUUCCUCUAUAUUUUAAUAUUUUAGGAACAAGUUCCAGUUCCAGUCUACCACCCAACACCUAGCCAGACUCGGCUAGCAACUCAGCUGACUGAAGAGGAACAAAUUAGGAUAGCUCAAAGAAUAGGUCUUAUACAACAUCUGCCUAAAGGAGUUUAUGACCCUGGAAGAGAUGGAUCAGAAAAAAAGAUCCGGGAGUGUGUGAUCUGUAUGAUGGACUUUGUUUAUGGGGACCCAAUUCGAUUUCUGCCGUGCAUGCACAUCUAUCACCUGGACUGUAUAGAUGACUGGUUGAUGAGAUCCUUCACGUGCCCCUCCUGCAUGGAGCCAGUUGAUGCAGCACUGCUUUCAUCCUAUGAGACUAAUUGAGCCAGGGUCUCUUAUCUGACUUCAAGUGAACCACCAUUUUGGUGGUUUUGAUCUUUUGUCACUGAGCCCAAAGAGCCAGGGAUUAGGAAUUAAGAUCGUGCACAAAAGUUUCCUUAAAAUUCCUGGAUGGCUGCAGAUGUUGGGGGAAAAAGUACGUGAUAUUUUAGAAACUUAGUGGGAAAAGUAGGAUGGUAUUUUUAUGUAAAGCCUUGAC
RNAcentral lists this small RNA (594 nucleotides) under Pan troglodytes (chimpanzee). RNAcentral's name for it is "processed transcript". Lineage: Eukaryota; Metazoa; Chordata; Mammalia; Primates; Hominidae. The record is from RNAcentral.